CUGGGUUUGACAUAUACCUGACUGCUGUGGAAACAUGGCUUCUCUUCGGAGCAGGUAAACAGGUGCUGCAUGGCUGUCGUCAGCUCGUGCCGUGAGGUGUUCGGUUAAGUCCGGCAACGAGCGCAACCCGUGUCACUAGUUGCCAUCAGGUAAUGCUGGGGACUCUAGUGAGACUGCCCGUGUCAAGCGGGAGGAAGGCGCGGAUGACGUCAAGUCCGUAUGGCCCUUAUAUCCAGGGCUGCACACGUGCUACAAUGGCUGGCACAGAGGGUAGCAAUACUGCGAAGUGGAGCAAAUCCUAAAAACCAGCCUUAGUUCGGAUUGGAGUCUGCAACUCGACUCCAUGAAGUUGGAAUCGCUAGUAAAGGCGUAUCAGCUACGACGCCUUGAAUACGUUCCC
This 400-nucleotide ribosomal RNA is filed under the name uncultured bacterium. RNAcentral's name for it is "bacterial SSU rRNA". It matches the Rfam family "Bacterial small subunit ribosomal RNA", at positions 975 to 1375 of the family's 1533-position model. The record is from RNAcentral.